This 247-nucleotide ribosomal RNA is filed under the name uncultured bacterium. RNAcentral describes it as "partial 16S ribosomal RNA". It matches the Rfam family "Bacterial small subunit ribosomal RNA", at positions 1066 to 1320 of the family's 1533-position model. The record is from RNAcentral.
CGUGAGAUGUUGGGUUAAGUCCCGCAACGAGCGCAACCCCUAUUGUUAGUUGCUACGCAAGAGCACUCUAGCGAGACUGCGUUGACAAAACGGAGGAAGGUGGGGACGACGUCAAAUCAUCAUGCCCCUUAUGUCCUGGGCUACACACGUAAUACAAUGGCAUUUAACAGAGGGAAGCAAAACCGCGAGGUGGAGCAAAUCCCUAAAAGGUGUCUCAGUUCGGAUUGCAGGCUGCAACUCGCCUGCA